Non-coding RNA from Vigna angularis (adzuki bean), 97 nucleotides. The record is from Rfam. Lineage: Eukaryota; Viridiplantae; Streptophyta; Magnoliopsida; Fabales; Fabaceae.
UAGUUAUUGUGCUAUUGAUUCGGUUCAUUCACACCUCAAAACACUUCUUUUAUUUUUGAGGUUUUGAUUGAGCCGCGUCAAUAUCUCAAUACUAUUU